RNAcentral lists this ribosomal RNA (429 nucleotides) under Acidobacteriota bacterium. Its description in RNAcentral is "Acidobacteria bacterium partial 16S ribosomal RNA". It matches the Rfam family "Bacterial small subunit ribosomal RNA", at positions 355 to 776 of the family's 1533-position model. Lineage: Bacteria; Pseudomonadati; Acidobacteriota. The record is from RNAcentral.
UGGGGAAUUUUGGACAAUGGGGGAAACCCUGAUCCAGCCAUCCCGCGUGUGCGAUGAAGGCCUUCGGGUUGUAAAGCACUUUUGGCAGGAAAGAAACGUCAUGGGUUAAUACCCCGUGAAACUGACGGUACCUGCAGAAUAAGCACCGGCUAACUACGUGCCAGCAGCCGCGGUAAUACGUAGGGUGCAAGCGUUAAUCGGAAUUGCUGGGCGUAAAGCGUGCGCAGGCGGUUCGGAAAGAAAGAUGUGAAAUCCCAGAGCUCAACUUUGGAACUGCAUUUUUAACUACCGGGCUAGAGUGUGUCAGAGGGAGGUGGAAUUCCGCGUGUAGCAGUGAAAUGCGUAGAUAUGCGGAGGAACACCGAUGGCGAAGGCAGCCUCCUGGGAUAACACUGACGCUCAUGCACGAAAGCGUGGGGAGCAAACAGG